AGGCAGACGUAACAGUCAGUACAGAGACGUAACAGUCAGUACAGAGAUAUGGCAGACAGAGACGUAACAGUGAGUACAGAGAUAUGGCAGAGACGUAACAGUCAGUACAGAGAUAUGGCAGAGAGACGUAACAGUCAGUACAGAUAUGGCAGAGAGACGUAACAGUCAGUACAGAUAUGGCAGAGAGACGUAACAGUCAGUACAGAGACGUAACAGUCAGUACAGAGAUAUGGCAGAGAUACGUAACAGUCAGUACAGAGACGUAACAGUCAGUACAGAGAUAUGGCAGAGAUGUAACAGUCAGUACAGAGACGUAACAGUCAGUACAGAGAUAUGGCAGAGAGAUGUAACAGUCAGUACAGAGACGUAACAGUCAGUACAGAGAUAUGGCAGAGAGAUGUAACAGUCAGUACAGAGACGUAACAGUCAGUACAGAGAUAUGGCAGAGAUGUAACAGUCAGUACAGAGAUAUGGCAGACAGAGACGUAACAGUCAGUACAGAGAUAUGGCAGAGAGACGUAACAGUCAGUACAGAGACGUAACAGUCAGUACAGAGAUAUGGCAGAGAGACGUAACAGUCAGUACAGAGACGUAACAGUCAGUACAGAGAUAUGGCAGAGAUACGUAACAGUCAGUACAGAGACGUAACAGUCAGUACAGAGAUAUGGCAGAGAGACGUAACAGUCAGUACAGAGACGUAACAGUCAGUACAGAGAUAUGGCAGACAGAGACGUAACAGUCAGUACAGAGACGUAACAGUCAGUACAGAGAUAUGGCAGAGAUGUAACAGUCAGUACAGAGACGUAACAGUCAGUACAGAGAUAUGGCAGAGAUGUAACAGUCAGUACAGAGACGUAACAGUCAGUACAGAGAUAUGGCAGAGAGAUGUAACAGUCAGUACAGAGACGUAACAGUCAGUACAGAGAUAUGGCAGACAGAGACGUAACAGUCAGUACAGAGAUAUGGCAGAGAGACGUAACAGUCAGUACAGAGACGUAACAGUCAGUACAGAGAUAUGGCAGAGAGACGUAACAGUCAGUACAGAGAUAUGGCAGACAGAGACGUAACAGUCAGUACAGAGACGUAACAGUCAGUACAGAGAUAUGGCAGAGAUGUAACAGUCAGUACAGAGACGUAACAGUCAGUACAGAGAUAUGGCAGAGAGACGUAACAGUGAGAGUAACUAGCUAAACAGUGUCCCCUC
Molecule: long non-coding RNA, 1204 nt
Organism: Oncorhynchus keta (chum salmon)
Lineage: Eukaryota; Metazoa; Chordata; Actinopteri; Salmoniformes; Salmonidae
Exons: 3
Source: RefSeq, a predicted model, not a curated record